This 446-nucleotide ribosomal RNA is filed under the name uncultured bacterium. RNAcentral's name for it is "partial 16S ribosomal RNA". It matches the Rfam family "Bacterial small subunit ribosomal RNA", at positions 338 to 795 of the family's 1533-position model. The record is from RNAcentral.
CCUACGGGUGGCAGCAGUCGAGAAUAUUUCACAAUGGGCGCAACCCUGAUGGUGCGACGCCGCGUGGAGGAAUGAAGGUCUUCGGAUUGUAAAUCCUUGUCAUGUGGGAGCAAAUUAUAAAGAUAGUACCCCAAGAGGAAGAGACGACUAACUGUGUGCCAGCAGCCGCGGUAAUACAGAGGGCCCAAGCGGUGAUCGGAAUCACUGGGCGUAAAGCGUGCGUAGGCGGUUUCGUAAGGCGUGUUUGAAAGGCGCGGGCUCAACCCGCGGACGGCACAUGAUACUGCGAGUCUCGAGUAAUGGAGUGGGAACCGGAAUUCUCGGUGUAGCGGUGAAAUGCGUAGAUAUCGGGAGGAACACUCGUGGCGAAGGCGGGUUCCUGGACGUUAACUGACGCUGAGGCGCGAAGGCCAGGGGAGCAAACGGGAUUAGAUACCCGAGUAGUC